CUGAAUGUCAAAGUGAAGAAAUUCAAUGAA
This 30-nucleotide non-coding RNA is filed under the name Cricetulus griseus (Chinese hamster). Lineage: Eukaryota; Metazoa; Chordata; Mammalia; Rodentia; Cricetidae. The record is from RNAcentral. RNAcentral also lists the same sequence under 1 other name.